CUCAUAUAAUAAUAUAGUAUGUCUUUAUAAAGGUCGAAAGAUGCAUGUGCUUUAGUAAAUCUUACUGGAUAAAAACCUUUCAUAGGGGACCGCCCCGGGACCACUCAUUAAUAAUAAUGGGAGGGGGGGGGGGGGGGGGGCGGUGGUUGAUAGAUACUAAAUAUUGAACAUUUUUUAGAGCCGCCCCAAUCGCAAGACCUUUAUUUUCAAGAUGCCCCCACCUUCAUUUAGAAAUUUAGCCCCCCCCCCAACAUUUAAUUUGUUACUUAGUUGGUGUAAAAUAGGUAAUGGUACAAGUACUGGUGUAAGACAUUGUGUAGCCUAAAUAAUAAGAGGACCAGUAUUCAAAAUGGUUGUUAUUUACUCUGACUCCUAUCAUGAACAGAACUGCAUAUACGUAAUAAACUAUGGAAAUUACAAUUAUAGGAACUAAAAAAGGUGAAAUAUUUUGCAAUAUGAUAAAGGUAAGAG
Molecule: non-coding RNA, 471 nt
Organism: Paramuricea clavata
Lineage: Eukaryota; Metazoa; Cnidaria; Anthozoa; Malacalcyonacea; Plexauridae
Source: the annotation of a GenBank genome assembly